GAUGAACGCUAGCUACAGGCUUAACACAUGCAAGUCGAGGGGAAACGACAUCGAAAGCUUGCUUUUGAUGGGCGUCGACCGGCGCACGGGUGAGUAACGCGUAUCCAACCUGCCCAUCACUUGUGGAUAACCUUGCGAAAGUAAGACUAAUACCCAAUGAUAUCUCUAGAAGACAUCUGAAAGAGAUUAAAGAUUUAUCGGUGAUGGAUGGGGAUGCGUCUGAUUAGCUUGUUGGCGGGGUAACGGCCCACCAAGGCAACGAUCAGUAGGGGUUCUGAGAGGAAGGUCCCCCACAUUGGAACUGAGACACGGUCCAAACUCCUACGGGAGGCAGCAGUGAGGAAUAUUGGUCAAUGGGCGAGAGCCUGAACCAGCCAAGUAGCGUGCAGGAAGACGGCCCUAUGGGUGGUAAACUGCUUUUAUAAGGGAAUAAAGUGAGAGUCGUGACUCUUUUUGUAUGUACCUUAUGAAUAAGGACCGGCUAAUUCCGUG
This 492-nucleotide ribosomal RNA is filed under the name uncultured bacterium. RNAcentral describes it as "partial 16S ribosomal RNA". It matches the Rfam family "Bacterial small subunit ribosomal RNA", at positions 28 to 507 of the family's 1533-position model. The record is from RNAcentral.